Molecule: long non-coding RNA, 2138 nt
Filed under: Heterocephalus glaber (naked mole-rat)
Lineage: Eukaryota; Metazoa; Chordata; Mammalia; Rodentia; Bathyergidae
Description: lncRNA (ENSHGLG00000043208.1)
Source: RNAcentral
GUAUAUUUAUUAUCUCUUAGAUUUUGACCUAGAAAUAAUAGCUUAACUUUUAACUACUAAUCAAAAUGUCAAGGAAUAUGCCCUGUGGCCUCUGGACACUGAUGCAUUAAUCUAAAUUUUAGACUCUUCAACUUUUAAAAUAAUUACCAAUCACAUUUCAUUUAAACAGGUUAUAAAUGGGUAGCCCAAUAAAAAUUAAAAACUAAAUACACUUCUAGGUGAGGUCUGGUGGAUCAAAAUAACCGACCUCCUCAUGUCACCUUUUAUAAUUUUAGGACAUUUUGUAUUCUGAAAUGUUGUGUCUCAUCAUCAAAUACAGUAAUAUGGGAUAAUGCUCAUUUUAUCUCCUUUUCCUCCUCCUGGUCCACAUACCUUGGUCAAGUAAUUUUUAAUAAAUGUGUAUUUCACCCCAAAUGGGUGAUCUUUUCUUGACUGCUUCCAGGAUAAGAAUGAAAAAGGUAGAAACUAGAUGGAUCUAUUUCCAAAAUUUAAAUUUUUACCCUGGCCUUUCCUGAGGAAAAUGUGACUUUCUUUUUCCAAAUAGCAAACAUAAACAAGCCUGGUUCUUUGUUUGUUUGUUUGGUUGGUUGGUUUUUUUUUUUUUGUACCAGGGAUUGAACUCAGGACCUUGUGCUUGCAAGGCAGGCCAGGCAGAGUGAGCUAAAUCCCCACCCCAAACAAGCCUGGUUUUUAUCCUGAGUGUUAGCCCUGCCAACAGGGCUCCUGCCUUCUCUUCCUGACUUUUUAUUUCUCCUUUCUUUUCUGCCCAACAGGGUUGGGGGAGACAGCAGGAGUGAAUCAAACAGGAUUCACAGGCUGAUGAUCUUGCACGUCCAGGUGUGUUGUGUUGACUCACCUGCACAUCCAAUGGAAAGAAUAUCGAAGUAAAGGAAAGAACAUGCUGCAAGCAUCCCAUCCACAAAAGCACUACCUUCUAUAGCUGUCUUCUCAGCAGGCUCACAGUCCACCUCAAACUCAUCAUACAUGAACUGCCGAGUCAAAGAAGACUUGCCCACCCUAUUGUGCCCACCAUGAUGACUUUGCUCCAGGCCAGACAAUUCUAACCCUUAGGCUUUUUGUGGCUGUCUUGUGUCACUGAGUUUUCACCAGAGGAUUAAGAAGACAUGGCACUGCUGGCCGGUUCACUGCCCCGUGUGUUUCCAAAGCCACAGCUGAGAAAAUCCACUUAAAGGAAGAAAUUUUGGGCUCAUGCUUUCAGAGAUUUGAGUUGGCUCUGGAGAGACAGCACAUCACUGUGAAAGUGCAUAUUGGUGAACAACUGCUCACCUCGUGGCAGCCAGAACGCAAAGGGAACACAAAGGAUUGUGACAAAAUAAACACCUGAAGCCGUGCCGCCAGUAUCUAUUCCUUCCAACUAUGCUCCAUUUCCUAAAGUUCCACCACCUGACAAUAGCCCAUAUAAGUAUGAAUCCAGUCUGGAAAAUCUGGUCAGAGCCCUUGUGACACAAUCACCAGCCGAAGACCCCAGCUCCCAGCAGUGUUGCUCCAACACAUGACAUUUGAGGGCCAGUUGUAUUCUGCAACAAAGAUCACAGCUCCUUUAAAGGAUUCUGGGAAGGUGAGGCAAGAGAAUUGCAAUUUUGAGUCUGCCUGAGCAACUUGGUUACUUAGACACUGUGUUAAAAAUUAAAAAAUAAAUAAAGGGCUGGGGAUGUAGCUCAGUGCAUAAACUUUGUGUUCAAUCCCCAAUCUGAGAGAGAGAGAGAGAGAGACAGAGAGACAGAGAGAGAGGAGGAGGAGGAGGAGGAGAAGGAGAAGGAGGAGAAGGAGAAGGAGAAGAAGAGAAGAAGAAGGAGAAGAAGAGAAGAAAAGAAAAGAAAAGAAUGAGACCUCAUGGCCUUCUUUCCAUGAUAUUCUCCUUCUGGUUCUAGAAAUAACUCCCUCUUAAAUCCCUUUGGGACCAAGUGUGACACAACACACAGAUUACAGCACUAUUCAUGGAACUGCUGAACAUACCCUUAUUAAUAGGCCUUCAAUAACUCAACAUCUUUUCAUUCUAAUUAUAUUUUAUCAUUCCCUGGCCAUCUCUCAACUGAAACACUUUUCUAUAACCAUUCAGGGCUUCACUUUAUAAGACAGAAUUUCAUUCACCAUUCUUACCAAUACGUAUCAUUUUC